GACGAACGCUGGCGGCGUGCUUAACACAUGCAAGUCGAACGGAAAGGCCCUGCUUUUGUGGGGUGCUCGAGUGGCGAACGGGUGAGUAACACGUGAGUAACCUGCCCUUGACUUUGGGAUAACUUCAGGAAACUGGGGCUAAUACCGGAUAGGAGCUCCUGCUGCAUGGUGGGGGUUGGAAAGUUUCGGCGGUUGGGGAUGGACUCGCGGCUUAUCAGCUUUUUUGUGGGGUAGUGGCUUACCAAGGCUUUGACGGGUAGCCGGCCUGUGAGGGUGACCGGCGACAUUGGGACUGAGAUACGGCACAGACUCCAACGGGAGGCAGCAGGGGGGAAUAUUGCACAAGGGGCGGAAGCAUGAUGCAGAAACGCCGCGUGCGGGAUGACGGCCUUCGGGUUGUAAACCGAUUUCGCCUGAGACGAAGCGUGAGUGACGGUAAUGGGUAAAGAAGCACCGGCUAACUACGUG
Molecule: ribosomal RNA, 468 nt
Filed under: uncultured bacterium
Lineage: Bacteria
Description: partial 16S ribosomal RNA
Rfam family: Bacterial small subunit ribosomal RNA
Source: RNAcentral